GAUGAACGCUGGCGGCGUGCCUAACACAUGCAAGUCGAGCGGGCGUAGCAAUACGUCAGCGGCAGACGGGUGAGUAACGCGUGGGAACGUACCUUUUGGUUCGGAACAACACAGGGAAACUUGUGCUAAUACCGGAUAAGCCCUUACGGGGAAAGAUUUAUCGCCGAAAGAUCGGCCCGCGUCUGAUUAGCUAGUUGGUGAGGUAAUGGCUCACCAAGGCGACGAUCAGUAGCUGGUCUGAGAGGAUGAUCAGCCACAUUGGGACUGAGACACGGCCCAAACUCCUACGGGAGGCAGCAGUGGGGAAUAUUGGACAAUGGGGGCAACCCUGAUCCAGCCAUGCCGCGUGAGUGAUGAAGGCCCUAGGGUUGUAAAGCUCUUUUGUGCGGGAAGAUAAUGACGGUACCGCAAGAAUAAGCCCCGGCUAACUUCGUGCCAGCAGCCGCCGUAA
This 451-nucleotide ribosomal RNA is filed under the name uncultured bacterium. RNAcentral describes it as "partial 16S ribosomal RNA". It matches the Rfam family "Bacterial small subunit ribosomal RNA", at positions 28 to 523 of the family's 1533-position model. The record is from RNAcentral.